This 1388-nucleotide unclassified non-coding RNA is filed under the name Leishmania donovani. RNAcentral's name for it is "gene:LdHU3.10.1130(CDS-product:deaminase_putative )". Lineage: Eukaryota; Euglenozoa; Kinetoplastea; Trypanosomatida; Trypanosomatidae. The record is from RNAcentral.
UGAACCUCCUCGCCUCCUUCCCAUUUGUGCGUCGUCGCUGCGCGGUGUACGCUUGCCGUCCCACUGCUCUUUUUUAGCGAGUGAAGACGGGCACGGGUGCGGGUCUCCGGCGUCGAUGUCUGUGCACUAUGUCGAUGCCUUCAUGCGCGCGGCCCUCAGGGAAGCCGAGCUGGCGCUUGAAGAAGGCGAAGUGCCCGUUGGCUGCGCGCUGGUGCGCACGGACGCCAAUGAGACGGUGUACGCGAAGCUCGCGCUCCAGUCGUCAGACGCUGUUACCAAUGCGCCACCUCACGCAGCCUCGUCGCUCCGCUGCGACCAGCUGGUCGAGUCGUGCAUCGCUGCGCGCGGCCGUAAUCAAACCAAUCUGCAACACCAUGCUCUGGCCCACGCUGAGUUCAUCGCCGUUCAGAAGCUUAUCGAUGACGCAACGAGAGGCGGAGACGGAAGCGCGGGUGCAAGUUCAAGUAAAGCCGGUGCUGGCGAAGGAGAGAAGGAACUAGUUGAGGACGGGAAACAAAACGGAUUGACCUCCUCACCAACUACCCCGCCACUGUCCGGCCUGGCUGAUUAUGUCCUCUACGUCACCGUUGAGCCGUGCGUGAUGUGCGGUGCGAUGCUUUUGUACAACCGAAUCGCUCACGUCUUUUUCGGCUGCCGCAACCCGCGCUUUGGCGGCAACGGCACCGUGUUGGCGCUGCAUGCAUCGCCCUUUCCACAGCAGCGGCUGCGGCGGCAGCCGUCGCAACCAGAUCAGCCAGCAGCCAGCACGCCACGCUUCGCGGGUAUGUCGAAGGGCUCGCCCAGCGUUGAUGAGGGCGGGAUCGUCUGUAGUGGGGAGUGGUGGCCCGGGUACGUGAGUGAGGGCGGCCAUACCGAGGCAGAGGCCAUCAGCCUCCUCCAACGUUUCUACGAGCGCGAGAACCCCAACGCACCGGGGCACAAGCGCCGCCGGAAGGCUUGAGGCUAUUCCAUCUCUCCCUCCUUCUCUCUCAGCCUCUCCUCCUCCCGGAGCGCGUCUGCGUGUAUGUCUGUGGGAGUGAAGUGAAAGUAAUGAUUGAGGCAGCUGCUCUGAGAGAGCGAACAACAGCCGCACACCCGAAAAUACAGCGAAUCACAACACAUACACACAGUGAAGAUGUACGUGCAAGACGUGUGGCAUCACCGUUGGUGGGUCGGACUUCGCCUUUUUUUGUCCCCGCUCCCUCUCUUGGGCACUGCUGGUACACGUGACGCUCCUGCGCUAGCGCGGCAUGCCUCGCGCGUCUCAGUGUCGCUCUUCCUGCAUCUUCCCUUGCUGCCAAAGAGCUUCCUCUGCGUCCCUCUUCCUCACCUCCGCUGCCGCCUAAACGCAUACCCUCGCCUCCACACGUACGAGCAAACGCGCGCAG